GCCAUCUUUGUUAAGGGAGAGUGGGCCUGACUCAUCCAUUGAAUUCACAAAAGAAAAGGGGCGUGAGGGAGGAGGUCUUUAGCUGCAAAGACAGAGACUCUAACACGCGUAACAAAGGCCCAGAGAUCCAGACACAGAGCAAGGCAGAUACCCAGAGAGGCUGGAUGGGGCAAUAAGAGAGCUGGGAGGAGAGGAAGAGUGGGAAAAAUGAAGGAUACUUUUUUUUCGGACAGUUACAGAGUCAGAGAGACCCAGAGAAAAGCAGAGAUUUAAACAAGAGACCAAAACAAUGGGAUUGAGAAUGUGCAAGGCUGGAGUGCAGCGCGAUCUCGGCUCACUGCAACCUCUGCCUCCCGGGUUCAAACGAUUCUCCUUCCUCAGUCUCCCGAGUAGCUGGGAUUAUAGUAUGAGGAUCUUGGCUUUUAGAUGGUCCCUUACCUGGUCCUGCUGCUCCUCUGCUUCAAGGUGUCCAUUCAUCUGCUGGUCCU
RNAcentral lists this non-coding RNA (488 nucleotides) under Pongo abelii (Sumatran orangutan). Lineage: Eukaryota; Metazoa; Chordata; Mammalia; Primates; Hominidae. The record is from RNAcentral.